UCGAUCGUCAAAUCUCUCAUCGUGUCUUCCCUCCUCCUCUGUUUUCCAUCCUGUGAGAAAUCGGGCAACACCGUCACGUCUUUGUCUACGCGAUUGUCAGAUCUCUCAGUGUUUCUUCCCCCUCUGUUUUCCCUCUUGACGACUUCCACGAGAAUUUAUCAUAUUCUUGUAACCUUACUCUUCUUCUUGGAAGAUGCUAUGAGCAUUACAAGGGCAACGUAGGGACUUUGCAGGGCGAAGGCAAUCGCGGGUCGUGCGGGACCAAGUGUGACUCAGACAAGAAUUUAUUAUAUUCUCGAGACAUUUUACUCUUCUUGGAAGAUGCCACUGGCGGCUGAUGAUCAAGUCUUCAACGCUUUCGAAGGGACAUCAAACACAUGUAGCUGAAAUGGGAGGAGCAGCGGAAACAAGCAGCUGUUGCAACAACGCAAAGAUUCCCUACCGACAAGCUCAACAACUCACUCAAAACCCGGCAAAUUUGAAGACAAGCUGCCAUCCCUUCUCUUCUUCUUCCCGCCGGCGCUCCGGACCGGGCAUGAACACGCUCUCCGGCUGCGCAUUGAGCACCUCUU
Long non-coding RNA from Musa acuminata AAA Group (dessert banana), 572 nucleotides. RefSeq lists it as uncharacterized. The record is from RefSeq and is a predicted model, not a curated record. The transcript has 4 exons. NCBI's taxonomy places the organism in Eukaryota, Viridiplantae, Streptophyta, Magnoliopsida, Zingiberales, Musaceae.